GACAGCAGUCGCCGCGGUAAUACGUAGGUGGCAAGCGUUGUCCGGAAUUAUUGGGCGUAAAGGGCUCGCAGGCGGUUUCUUAAGUCUGAUGUGAAAGCCCCCGGCUCAACCGGGGAGGGUCAUUGGAAACUGGGAAACUUGAGUGCAGAAGAGGAGAGUGGAAUUCCACGUGUAGCGGUGAAAUGCGUAGAGAUGUGGAGGAACACCAGUGGCGAAGGCGACUCUCUGGUCUGUAACUGACGCUGAGGAGCGAAAGCGUGGGGAGCGAACAGGAUUAGAUACCCCAGUAGUCCCUGUCUCUUAUAC
RNAcentral lists this ribosomal RNA (306 nucleotides) under uncultured bacterium. RNAcentral describes it as "partial 16S ribosomal RNA". It matches the Rfam family "Bacterial small subunit ribosomal RNA", at positions 507 to 807 of the family's 1533-position model. The record is from RNAcentral.